CUGUGUGUGUGUGUGUGUGUGUGUGUGUGUGUAGAGAGAGAGAGAUCUUACCCUUGUAGUAUAUGAAGAAUGUCUAUAUCUUUAUUUCUUGAUAUGAUAGAUACAUAAUCAUUUUAGUGUAUUUGGUUUCUAAAUCACUGUGCUUAUUUUUUUCAAUUUCUAACUAAAAAUACAUGAAUUUGGUUUGUUAAUCCUAUUUUAGAAAUUAUAAUUUUAGUUUAUAUUCAUUUCAAUUAUAUCUUACUGAAGAAAUCUUUCCAGUUAGAAAGAUGUUGUAAUAUCCACGUUAUAAUAUUUUCUUUACUGUAAAACACCUAGAUUUGAAGAUAUAUGAAGCCUUGUUUUCUCUGUGUGGUUCAGCUACUUUCCAUUUGGUAUGACACACUCAAAUUUACAUUUAUCUAUUAAAAUUGCCAUUUUAUUAAACAUUUUUUUCAUGCACAGUAGAUUAAAUUGUGUCAGAAAAUAUCUCUUGUGCUUUUUUGAUUUUUGCUGACUUUAAAAGGAUUAAUCUGGGCAGACAUUAUGAAAAGGAAAGGUUGCAUUUAAUAUAUUUUGGGGCUUAGUAGUCCAAAAGAUAACUGGCUAACCUUGAAGUAACUGUUGUACCAUGGUCGUGCUCAUGCUUCAAAACCCUGCAGAAGAGAAUGUUCCUGCUUGGCACAUCAGAGGACUAGACAGCGGAUUAGGAAUAGACAAUGCUGUCCAUGCUUUGAAACAUCAGCAUUCACUCUAAAGCAAUUGCCAUAAUCGGUGAAAACCUGGACUUCACUGGAUUUUUAUUAAUUUUCUUAAUUUUGAACUGUGCGCACUACCAUUGCUGCAUCAGUAUGACGCAGUGUUGAAAAAUGACCAGUUAUAUUUGCUGUUCAUAAUCUAUUUGUAGAUUAGGUUAAAAUGGAUUUAAUCCAUUUUUACACGCUGUGUGAAUUUUUCUAAACAAGAACAACCAUUUGCAACAUGGAUUUUCAUAGGGAUUAAACCAAUCAUAACUUUUAUUAGCAGUUGAGAACACAUGUUCAUGUAGCAAUGUAAAAAUACACUAAUUACUUUUUGGUAAAUUCCAAUAGAUUUUGACAAUGAGCAUAAUUUUGUGUUGUACAAUUAAGUUGCAAGUAUACAUCUCUAAUUUUGGAUAAUAUUCAUUGAUUAACAAUAAAGUGACAAAAGCUCA
This is a long non-coding RNA of Carlito syrichta (Philippine tarsier), 1174 nucleotides long. RefSeq lists it as uncharacterized. The transcript has 2 exons. NCBI's taxonomy places the organism in Eukaryota, Metazoa, Chordata, Mammalia, Primates, Tarsiidae. The record is from RefSeq and is a predicted model, not a curated record.